RNAcentral lists this ribosomal RNA (465 nucleotides) under Triticum aestivum (bread wheat). Its description in RNAcentral is "partial small subunit ribosomal RNA". Lineage: Eukaryota; Viridiplantae; Streptophyta; Magnoliopsida; Poales; Poaceae. The record is from RNAcentral.
AUGGCGACGACGGCUGCGGCGUACGGCUGCUCGGCGGCGCCGGCGCUUUCGCUCCCGGGGAGCCCCUUCGCCCGUCGCUCGCCCCCGUCCCGCGUUCACCUCGCCUCCUCCAAUCCCAAGCUCGGGAAGCCCGUUCCCAGCAGCCUGAGGGCUUCAUAUCGUCGUAGGCGACCGUAUGUCUGCGCGUGCUCCGGCGAGGUUGGUCCAGACGCCUCGGCGGCGUCACCGGCGGAAGCUAGUUUUGAUAUAAAGCUUCCUAGAAGAAGCUUGCUUGUUCAGUUUACAUGUACUAAAUGUGAUGCAAGGACAGAGCGUUUGAUAAACAGGGUGGCCUAUGAAAGAGGAACCGUUUUUCUUCAGUGCGCUGGGUGCCAGGUGUAUCACAAGUUUGUUGACAAUCUUGGCCUAAUUGUCGAGUAUGACCUACGAGAAGAAAAUGGGGUGAACACUUGUACUGAAGACUGA